This 687-nucleotide long non-coding RNA is filed under the name Carica papaya (papaya). Its description in RNAcentral is "long non-coding RNA (CPAP_LNC001087)". The record is from RNAcentral. Lineage: Eukaryota; Viridiplantae; Streptophyta; Magnoliopsida; Brassicales; Caricaceae.
CGGGUGAGAAUGGAAUCUGUGUGUGUGUGUGGCCUAUUAGGGGUCGAGAGAUAAGCGGUUUAUUGGUGAGCACCGAUACUGGUGAAGCGUGAAAACGGUAUCUGUGUGUGUGUGUGGCCUAUUAGGGGUUGGGAGAUAGGUAGUUUAUUGGUGAUCGCUGAUAUUGGUGACGGGAGAGAGUAUUUGUAUUGUACUUAAUUGUAUAUACUCACUCCUUAUUAUUUACAGAUGAAGUAGAGAUGGAGUCGGGAUCGGAGUUACUGAUUUCUGAGCCUAGCGAAUAGAGGAACAAGGUAAUAAUGCUUUCGUUAUUUGGCAUGAUUGAGUGUGUAAUAACUAGUUGUAGGGUAGAUAGUGUGUCUGCUGGGAGUCUGUGAGAUUAUUCUUCACUGUGAUAUUACAUGUAGGGUUGCAGGUUUAUUGUGAUUUUAAAUAAUAGAUUACAGUAAUGUUUCUAUGUUUGUGGUGAAUUUAGAAUGACGUGUGCAUAUGUAACCAUAGAAUUAUUUUUGCUUACACCAUUAAAAAAAAAAAAACGGGACGUUACAGUUUAUCAUUUCUGUAGUGAAUUAUAUAACUUAAUCGUUCUUGAUUAUAAUUUAAUUACAUGCAACGAGAGUUCUGAUUUAAAAAAAUAAAAACUCGCGAUGAGGGUUGAAAAAUCCACAACUUUAGGUUUGAAAAUUC